UGGGGAAUAUUGCGCAAUGGGGGAAACCCUGACGCAGCGACGCCGCGUGUGGGAUGAAGGUCUUCGGAUUGUAAACCACUGUCGCGAGGGACGAAGCUCUGACGGUACCUCGAAAGGAAGCACCGGCUAACUCUGUGCCAGCAGCCGCGGUAAUACAGAGGGUGCGAGCGUUGUCCGGAAUCACUGGGCGUAAAGGGCGCGUAGGCGGCCCGGUAAGUAGGGGGUGAAAUCUCAUGGCGUCAACUGUGAGGCUGCCUUCUAGACUGCCAGGCUUGAGCACAGUAGAGGCGAGUGGAAUUCCCGGUGUAGCGGUGGAAUGCGUAGAGAUCGGGAAGAACAUCGGUGGCGAAGGCGGCUCGCUGGGCUGUUGCUGACGCUGAGGCGCGAAAGCGUGGGGAGCAAACAGGAUUAGAUACCCAUGUAGUCCCUGAGCGGGCUGGCAAGGCGCAU
Molecule: ribosomal RNA, 450 nt
Filed under: uncultured bacterium
Lineage: Bacteria
Description: bacterial SSU rRNA
Rfam family: Bacterial small subunit ribosomal RNA
Source: RNAcentral